GACGAACGCUGGCGGCGUGCUUAACACAUGCAAGUCGUACGGUAAGGCCCUUUCGGGGGUAUACGAGUCGCGCACGGGUGAGUAACACGUGAGUAACCUCCCCACCACUGUGGUAUAACGCUAGGAAACUGGUUCUAACCCGGUGUAUAUGCUCUUGCUGCAUGGUGGGGGUUGGAAGGCUUCGGCGGUUGGGGAUGGACUCGCGGCCUAUCAGCUUGUUGGUGGGGUAGUGGCCUACCAAGGCGGCGGCGGGUAGCGGGCCUGAGGGGGUGACCGGCCCACUUGGGGAUUGGAAAAGGCCCAGACUCCUACGGGAGGCAAGCGGGGGGAAUAUUGCAGAAUGGGGCGAAACCUGAUGCAACAGCGGCCGGGGCGGGAAGACCGGCUUUGGGUUGGAAACCGCCUUCAGCAGGGACGGAGCUGUUUGUGACGGUACCUGCAGAAGAAGCACCGGCUAACUACGUG
This 465-nucleotide ribosomal RNA is filed under the name uncultured bacterium. RNAcentral's name for it is "partial 16S ribosomal RNA". It matches the Rfam family "Bacterial small subunit ribosomal RNA", at positions 28 to 507 of the family's 1533-position model. The record is from RNAcentral.